AUUGAACGCUGGCGGCAUGCUUUACACAUGCAAGUCGAACGGUAGAGGGGGCAACCCCUUGAGAGUGGCGAACGGGUGAGUAAUGCAUCGGAACGUGCCCAGUCGUGGGGGAUAGCCCGGGGAAACCCGGAUUAAUACCGCAUACGACCUGAGGGUGAAAGCGGGGGACCGAAAGGCCUCGCGCGAUUGGAGCGGCCGAUGUCGGGUUAGGUAGUUGGUGGGGUAAAGGCCUACCAAGCCUGCGAUCCGUAGCUGGUCUGAGAGGACGACCAGCCACACUGGGACUGAGACACGCCCAAGACUCCUACGGGAGGCAGCAGUUGGGAAUUUUGGACAAUGGGCGCAAGCCUGAUCCAGCCAUGCCGCGUGCGGGAAGAAGGCCUUCGGGUUGUAAACCGCUUUUGUCAGGGAGGAAAUCCUUUGGACUAAUACUCUGGGGGGAUGACGGUACCUGAAGAAUAAGCACCGGCUAACUACGUGCCAGCCGCCGCCGUAA
This 496-nucleotide ribosomal RNA is filed under the name uncultured bacterium. Its description in RNAcentral is "partial 16S ribosomal RNA". It matches the Rfam family "Bacterial small subunit ribosomal RNA", at positions 29 to 523 of the family's 1533-position model. The record is from RNAcentral.